Molecule: unclassified non-coding RNA, 1418 nt
Filed under: uncultured Neocallimastigales
Lineage: Eukaryota; Fungi; Neocallimastigomycota; Neocallimastigomycetes; Neocallimastigales
Description: partial contains small subunit ribosomal RNA, internal transcribed spacer 1, 5.8S ribosomal RNA, internal transcribed spacer 2, and large subunit ribosomal RNA
Rfam family: Eukaryotic large subunit ribosomal RNA (bases 661-1418)
Source: RNAcentral
UUUCCGUAGGUGAACCUGCGGAAGGAUCAUUAAAAAAUUGGACUCCAUUGGUGAGUUCAUUAAUAAUCCCUACCCUUUGUGAAUUUGUUUGUUUGAAUAAUUUUUUUUCCAAAAAAAAAUUAUUGAAUGUCUUUCCUUGUUUUGGUGGAGCUUGUAAAGUGAAACCAGGCAGGGGAAUGGCAAACAAUAAUUAUUUUUGAAAAAGACCUUUUUUUAAAAUUAAACUUUUUGUAUUCAUUUGUCUAAAAUUAAUUUUUAUAAUAUAAAAACAACUUUUGACAAUGGAUCUCUUGGUUCUCGCAACGAUGAAGAACGCAGCAAAAUGCGAUAAGUAGUGUGAAUUGCAGAAUACGUGAAUCAUCGAAUCUUCGAACGCAUAUUGCACUUUUUUAGUUUACUAAAAAAGUAUGUCUGUUUGAGUAUCAGUGAAAUAUUCUCAUAAAAAACAUUGUUUUUUUAUGGUUAUGAGUGUUUUACAACGAUAACAAGUUGUUUCACUCUAAAUUCUUUGUUAUCAAAAAAAUCAUUAAAAGCUAAUUUUAAAGAUUUUUUAAAAUUGGAUAAAAUUUUCCCGUAAAAAGGAAUAACCUAAACAAUUUUAAAAAAUUAAAAUUGGUUUGAUUUUUUUGAAACCCAAAGGAAAAAAAAACGAAAUUAACUUGAUCUCAAAUCAGAUAAGAGUACCCGCUGAACUUAAGCAUAUCAAUAAGCGGAGGAAAAGAAACUAACUAGGAUUCCCUCAGUAACGGCGAGUGAAGCGGGAAGAGCUCAAAUUUGAAAUCUUCAAGGUUUUACCUUGACGAAUUGUAGUUUAAAGUAGUGUUUUCUGUUGGAGUUUUGGUAAAAGUUCUUUGGAAAAGGACAUCAUAGAGGGUGAGAAUCCCGUAUUUGACCAUUAUCUCCAGCUUUGUGAUACACUUUCAAAGAGUCGGAUUGUUUGGGAAUGCAGUCCAAAAUGGGUGGUAAAUUUCAUCUAAAGCUAAAUACUGGCGAGAGACCGAUAGCGAACAAGUACCGUGAGGGAAAGAUGAAAAGAACUUUGAAAAGAGAGUUAAACAGUACGUGAAAUUGUCAAAAGGGAAGCGUUUGACACCAGUGUUGUUUUCUCGAAAAUCAAUUAAAAAAGGCCGGAUUUUGUGUUGUAUUGACUUUAUCAGCUUUCUGCACUCUUUUCUUGUCUUUUUUAAUGCACUUUUCGUUUAACAAGUCAACAUCAAUUUCUUUUGUUGUAAAAGGGUCAUUGGAAGGUGGCUUUCUUUUCGGAGAAAGUGUUUAUAGCCUUUGGCCUCUGCAAUCGGAGAGAUUGAGGUCUGCAGCGUAGAUCCUUCGGGGUUAGAUACAUUUGUGCUAAGUUAUAGCCUUUCAUAGACAACUUGUUGACUAUGAUCAGUCAUGUAGCUUACUCGCUUAUGCUAUUU